This 75-nucleotide transfer RNA is filed under the name Borrelia crocidurae str. Achema. Its description in RNAcentral is "tRNA-Thr (TGT) (tRNA-Thr-TGT-1-1)". It matches the Rfam family "tRNA". From Rfam's summary of the family: Transfer RNA (tRNA) molecules are approximately 80 nucleotides in length. Their secondary structure includes four short double-helical elements and three loops (D, anti-codon, and T loops). The record is from RNAcentral. Lineage: Bacteria; Pseudomonadati; Spirochaetota; Spirochaetia; Spirochaetales; Borreliaceae.
GCCGGCUUAGCUCAGGUGGUCGAGAGCGGCGGUCUUGUAAACCGUAGGUCGUGGGUUCGAAUCCGACAGUCGGCU